CUCUUUUUAGAUUCCAUCUGGGGGCCGUGUAUGUUAUGCGUGCUGGGUCUCAGCACGAAGAAAUGUGUAAAGAGCCCAGAACAUUGAUGAGGUGCGUCAAAAUCCAGUUUCUGCACACCACCAAGAUGAUUCUUGUGCAUUAUGCCGCAUGUCUUUGUUCCGGAGGCAAACACAUGCCAUACCUACUGGGCCUGCGAGAUAUGAAUUAGCAGCAAGCAUUUAUCCACGCGAGUUAUCGGGGCACCUUUUGUGUACAAGUUGCUGGACUAUAUAAAUGUUAGACGAAAUGCAUCCCAAAUUCGUGAAGAAGCUUCACCAUCUGGAACGAUGAUGGAAAAUGUACCAGUAACAACGCCAGUGAUGGAGCUUGAUGAUUUUACACACACUACAAAUUCAAGUAGACAUUGUUUUGUGUCCAACUGCACAAAUCCUGAAAGGUACAAUGUUCCAAUUAGUCUUAGAAAGCGAAUUUUAACGUCCCAAAAAAUAUUUGUAUCAGAUAAUGCUAGUGUGUAAUGAACAAAUACCAUUAUACAUAUAAUUGGGAGUUUCUAGAACAGCAUGAAUUCUCAAAAGUGUUUACAAAAACUGAGAUGCAGUCUAUGCUAAGACUUAGUAUUCGAGAAGUAGAAAGUCAUUUAGAUUUUGAAAGCAUUGAACAAAUUGAUGAUGUUAUUUUUAAAUUCUGGACAGGCUUAUCAAAACAUAACUAUAAUAUAAUUUUUAACCAAAACCGUCCAGCUAUGGCUUGCAAAAAACCCCGAACUGCCUUAGGUGCUUACUUAAUUAAAGCUCGUACUGGAGACUCCCACAGAAGAAUCUUUUCUUUGUUAUGUGUGGGGACGGAUACAUUAUAAACGUUACAGGAACAUACGAUGCAACCUCUGAUGCAUCAAUAAUGCAGCAGAUUUUACAAAACCACGACGGUCCUAUGGAAGAGGCCCCGAUUAAUUAUUUUUUGGAAGAAGGUGACGUCUUCAUAUUGGACAGAGGAUUUCAUGAUAGUAUUCCUCUUCUAGAGUCAUACGGCUAUGUUGCACAUGUACCCCUGUCUGUAACACGCGGUGAUUGGUGAAAGUCAGCUGACAAAUCUGGAAGUGAUCACGAAGAGUCACAUUAUGCAGGUGGUCGUAGAGACAAUUAACGGUCAAUUCAAGCGCGACUUUAAAAUAUUUAGAGACAAAGUAUUUAAUCGCACUACCAAACACCAUGAAGGAUUUUAAGAUAGCCGCAGCCAUCAUAAACUGUUUUCAAGAGCCCUACGAGUACAGUAGGUACACAAACCAAUUCAUUGAUAUAAUAAAUAAUGUAAAUAAUCACAAUCAUUUCCACAUCAUUAGCUUCUUUCAAGUCCCAUAGGAAUCUAUGUCUGCGCGUGGCCAAAAUCGGAACUAAUCUCAGGCCGCCAUGUCGUUGUUUAUGUCGGGUGUAGUGAGCGUUUAGGAGUGUCUUGCGUUUUUAUUAGUUUUCAGUGAUCAAAAUGACUAAUCAUCAUGCCAAAAGUUAUUAAAAGUGCCGGCAGAGAGAUUGUUUUGAAGGUGAAACGUUCUUGUGAAGCAGAACGGGACAAUAAGGGGCCAUUUAUACCAAUUUGCAAAGUACGGGCACGGAAUGCUUCCUUGACAGGUACAUUUUUGGGUGACCAUCGCAUGGUAUUUUGCUUCCGUGUGGGGUAAUUUUUGUAUUUUAAGUAUUUCAAAUAAUCAUAAUAUAUUUGUUCGUUUCAGGUAUUUCUGAACGCACUGUCACUAAAAUAACUCGAGAAAGUAAUUUAGCUGAAGCUUCUAAUUCGAAAAUUGUAACUCCAGGAAAAAAUAGAGACCGAAAGAGUUUUUUGGAAACAGACGAUUUUGACUGUUGCAACGAACUGACCACUGAACACUGUUACAACGAUGGAAUGGAUUAACGUGUGUCAACACGUGGGGAAAAUCGAAGACAAAUAUUUCGAAUCCGACAGACUUAUGGGUAUAGAACUCGACAAAAUAUAAUUGAUCCUACAAGUGACGAUGAAAGCUUAGACUCUUCUGACGACGAAAUGUCCGAAGACUCCGAAAGUAAUAUGAUGGAAGGCAUUAACCCACUGGAGGACCAUAAUUAUACAAAAU
Molecule: long non-coding RNA, 2105 nt
Organism: Ostrinia furnacalis (Asian corn borer)
Lineage: Eukaryota; Metazoa; Arthropoda; Insecta; Lepidoptera; Crambidae
Exons: 2
Source: RefSeq, a predicted model, not a curated record